CCUACGGGAGACAGCAGUGGGGAAUAUUGGGCAAUGGGCGCAAGCCUGACCCAGCAACGCCGCGUGAAGGAAGAAGGCUCUCGGGUUGUAAACUUCUUUUAUCAGGGACGAAGCAAGUGACGGUACCUGACGAAUAAGCCACGGCUAACUACGUGCCAGCAGCCGCGGUAAUACGUAGGUGGCAAGCGUUAUCCGGAUUUACUGGGUGUAAAGGGCGUGUAGGCGGGAAAGCAAGUCAGAUGUGAAAACCAUGGGCUCAACCUGUGGCCUGCAUUUGAAACUGUUUUUCUUGAGUACUGGAGAGGCAGACGGAAUUCCUAGUGUAGCGGUGAAAUGCGUAGAUAUUAGGAGGAACACCAGUGGCGAAGGCGGUCUGCUGGACAGCAACUGACGCUGAGGCGCGAAAGCGUGGGGAGCAAACAGGAUUAGAUACCCUUGUAGUC
RNAcentral lists this ribosomal RNA (443 nucleotides) under uncultured bacterium. Its description in RNAcentral is "partial 16S ribosomal RNA". It matches the Rfam family "Bacterial small subunit ribosomal RNA", at positions 338 to 795 of the family's 1533-position model. The record is from RNAcentral.